GUAGGGGGCAUGCGGGAGAGCACCCACGAGCCCAUUUCGGCGUUCAAGUGUCACCCAAGCCUGAAUGGUGACAGUAUCACCCUCUUGGAUACCUUCUUCACCUUCUGUUUCACAUGAGAUAGUAACUGUAACAGACGGCAUCAUUUCCAGCACAGUUUCAACAUCUUGUACUUCAGCAGGCGAGAACCCACCAACCUGAGCAAGCAGCUCGGCACGCUCUUCUUGAGCCAGUUUUUGAAGAUCCUCAAACGCUCUCACUUUCUUGCGGGCUAU
RNAcentral lists this unclassified non-coding RNA (273 nucleotides) under Hevea brasiliensis (rubber tree). The record is from RNAcentral. Lineage: Eukaryota; Viridiplantae; Streptophyta; Magnoliopsida; Malpighiales; Euphorbiaceae.